This 232-nucleotide ribosomal RNA is filed under the name uncultured bacterium. RNAcentral describes it as "partial 16S ribosomal RNA". It matches the Rfam family "Bacterial small subunit ribosomal RNA", at positions 99 to 334 of the family's 1533-position model. The record is from RNAcentral.
CGGACGGGUGAGUAAUGUCUGGGAAACUGCCUGAUGGAGGGGGAUAACUGCUGGAAACGGUAGCUAAUACCGCAUAACGUCGCAAGACCAAAGAGGGGGACCUUCGGGCCUCUUGCCAUCGGAUGUGCCCAGACGGGAUUAGCUAGUAGGUGGGGUAACGGCUCACCUAGGCGACGAUCCCUAGCUGGUCUGAGAGGAUGACCAGCCACACUGGAACUGAGACACGGUCCAG